This 450-nucleotide ribosomal RNA is filed under the name uncultured bacterium. RNAcentral describes it as "partial 16S ribosomal RNA". It matches the Rfam family "Bacterial small subunit ribosomal RNA", at positions 354 to 796 of the family's 1533-position model. The record is from RNAcentral.
GUGGGGAAUCUUCCGCAAUGGACGAAAGUCUGACGGAGCGACGCCGCGUGAGUGAAGAAGGCCUUCGGGUCGUAAAGCUCUGUCAUCAGGGACGAACGGCCGGUGGAGUGGAAAGCCACCGGAUUGACGGUACCUGAGAAGGAAGCCACGGCUAACUACGUGCCAGCAGCCGCGGUAAUACGUAGGUGGCAAGCGUUGUCCGGAAUUAUUGGGCGUAAAGCGCGCGCAGGUGGGAUCUUAAGUCCAUUUUGAAAGUUCGGAGCUCAACUCCGUGAUGGGAUGGAAACUGGGAUUCUUGAGUACCGGAGAGGAAAGCGGAAUUCCCCGUGUAGCGGUGAAAUGCGUAGAUAUGGGGAGGAACACCAGUGGCGAAGGCGGCUUUCUGGACGAAAACUGACGCUGAGGCGCGAAAGCCAGGGGAGCGAACGGGAUUAGAAACCCUGGUAGUCC